This 432-nucleotide ribosomal RNA is filed under the name uncultured bacterium. RNAcentral's name for it is "partial 16S ribosomal RNA". It matches the Rfam family "Bacterial small subunit ribosomal RNA", at positions 29 to 506 of the family's 1533-position model. The record is from RNAcentral.
AACGAACGCUGGCGGCAUGCCUAACACAUGCCAGUCGAACGAGACCUUCGGGUCUAGUGGCGCACGGGUGCGUAACGCGUGGGAACCUGCCCUUAGGUUCGGAAUAACUCCCCGAAAGGGGUGCUAAUACCGGAUAAUUUCUUCGGACCAAAGAUUUAUCGCCUUUGGAUGGGCCCGCGUUGGAUUAGCUAGUUGGUAGGGUAAAAGCCUACCAAGGCGACGAUCCAUAGCUGGUCUGAGAGGAUGAUCAGCCACACUGGGACUGAGACACGGCCCAGACUCCUACGGGAGGCAGCAGGGGGGAAUAUUGGACAAUGGGCGAAAGCCGGAUCCAGCAAUGCCGCGUGAGUGAUGAAGGCCUUAGGGUUGUAAAGCUCUUUUACCCGGGAUGAUAAGGACAGUACCGGGAGAAUAAGCUCCGGCUAACUCCGU